GAGCUUUGCAUACUUAAGUGAGACUGGUCCUUGGAGAAGAUGGAGCAGGUUCCGAAGGUCCGGGGCUACUGGCGGUUCGAGCGGUUCAGCUCAGAAGACGACUGAAGUCAGCCGAAGGAUGAGCCAGGAGUUGCAGCACUCGGGCCCGAAGCAAAGCCAGCGCCUGUGGAUCCUGUGGAUGCUCGUUUGGGUACUUCUUUGGUCUCACUCAAAAACUCUGGCACAGAGGAUGACCUGGGCCUGCUGGGUUGCGUUCAGAGGUGACUUUGAAAUCACGCAGAAAACUCAGAAAAACGAGGCUCGAAGAGCAGAGAAAACUUUCAAAAAUGGCUUCGCAAAAUUAAAGAAAAAUCAAUCAAAGGCUUAAUCUUGAAUUGCUAUGCGCACAAAAAGUUGAAGUUUCAAAACUUGAACUAAGACGAUGUUAAAGAAAAAUCAACGUGAAUCAACACGUGGCGUAAAACUUAGAAGACUAAGAAAAAGUUCUAAGAGAAAAUAAAGAAACGCACCACAGAAGGGUGUGGACAGAAGAGAAGGGGCAUAAGAGCCGGGGACAAGAGAGUCAGCAGAAGAGCAGAAGCAUAAGAGGAAUAAGAGUAAAAAAGAGGAGCGUAAGAGAGAUAAGAGCGAGUAAGAGGAAUAAGAGAGCGAGCAACCCCACUUCACUGGUUUUAUCUUCUCACACUGGGUGUGUCUCCGGCGUGUGGGUGUGAGGAGAAAGAGGAGGAGGGGUUGUGUGGUCUCCAAGCAGAGAUGAACUCGGAUCUCUGAUUAUUUGAUCUAACUUAUUCUUUUGGCUGGUAAAAGAGUCAGAUCUGAUACUCACUCACUAUGAUUAAUAUCAUUGAAUGCUAGGUUUCAU
Non-coding RNA from Xyrichtys novacula (pearly razorfish), 862 nucleotides. The record is from the annotation of a GenBank genome assembly. Lineage: Eukaryota; Metazoa; Chordata; Actinopteri; Labriformes; Labridae.